RNAcentral lists this ribosomal RNA (253 nucleotides) under uncultured Cercozoa. RNAcentral's name for it is "partial 18S ribosomal RNA". The stretch from base 83 to 221 matches the Rfam family "Eukaryotic small subunit ribosomal RNA", at positions 825 to 974 of the family's 1831-position model. Lineage: Eukaryota; Cercozoa. The record is from RNAcentral.
GGAUUUCUGGUUUAAUGCACCUGGCCCGCGGCCACUAGGCUUGUGAGUGCCGGCGCGCGUUUACCAUCCUUCUAGAAAACUAGGACUUCGGUUCUAUUUUGUUGGUUUCUAUAACUGAAGUAAUGAUUGAUAGGGAUAGUUGGGGGUGCUAGCAGAGGUGAAAUUCUUGGAUUCGGUCAAGACUAACUUAUGCGAAAGCAUUCACCAAGGAUGUCUUCUUCUGUCUCUUAUACACAUCUCCGAGCCCACGAGA